AGCUAGAUGUAUUUAUAUUUAGUGAUUUCUGCCCAGUGAUUUUUUAACGGCCGCAGUACUUUGACUGUGCUAAGGUAGCAUAAUCAAUUGGCUUUUAAUUGAAGUCUAGGAUGAAGGGGAGCUUGGGAAAAAGCUGUCUUAAAUAAAAUUUUAUAAAUUUAAUAAUUGGGUGAAAAUGCCCACUUUAAGAAAAAAGACGAGAAGACCCUUAGAGUUUUUUUGUUGGGGUGACAGGUGAACAAACUUCAUUUUACGAUAAAUUAAACUACCUUAGGGAUAACAGCAUAAUCUUAUUUAAGGAUUGUGACCUCGAUGUUGGACUAGGAAAAUAAUAAUUAGAAAUUAAAAUUUAAAGUUCUGUUCGAACAUUUUAUCCU
RNAcentral lists this ribosomal RNA (377 nucleotides) under Discartemon roebeleni. Its description in RNAcentral is "partial large subunit ribosomal RNA". It matches the Rfam family "Bacterial large subunit ribosomal RNA", at positions 1831 to 2597 of the family's 2925-position model. Lineage: Eukaryota; Metazoa; Mollusca; Gastropoda; Stylommatophora; Streptaxidae. The record is from RNAcentral.